AAUAUAUUUUACUAAGAUCACAGUUACAGCUUUAUGUAGUGGCUGGUUAAUGAGUACUACAUGAUGAAGGAUAUUAAUAUUAGAACAAAAUGAUUUAAUUAUCAUUUGGUAGGAAGCAUGAACAGAAACACACUGCAAAUUGCUCAUUUUCAAUAAAUUACAACUUACCAAGACCAAAGGACCUUUAUAGCAUUAAGAGAUGCAGUCUCCAAAAUAUACAAGUAAUAAGAGCAAACCUGGGGCAGCAGACCCUGCUCCCUUCUGUACUUUUCCUGCAUGGAGCCAACAGCAGCUGUGACAUUUUCCAGCUCAGAAUCCAGCACAAUCCAGCACUAUACAGAUAUACAGAUAUACAGAUAUACAGUAUGUGUUCCAUACUUGUCUCUACCAGCCUCUGAUAUUGGAAGGAACACUAAGUUCACCAUAAGAUACACAUGUAUUCCCAGAAUUCUGGAGAUUUGACUCGGAUUUCUGCUAUUGGAUGAAUUAAUAACAUGAUCUUGGUGAGCUCCAGCCACUGUACAGCAGCAUAUGUUUCAAAUCUAUGUGGCCCCACUAGCAACUUUUUUGAGAAACCAUCCCUUUGGGUUUUCUUCCUUUAAGUGGCCUUCCUGCAUGUGCUGCCUCUCCACUCUCAGCCACAGUCAUGGCAGAGUCAUUGGACUCUUCCUGUGAACUACAACCAGAUCCUUCCCGUGUCACAUGGAAGGACUUUGGAAGAGCACAGAAAGGGACAAAACUACUGGUCUCUACUAAGUGAAUAAAGAUAGCUAAGUAAACACCUCUGCAGCACUACAGAGGCACAUUUUAUUGCUCCCAGAUGUGCAUGAUGGUUGGCUAAGAAGAAGAGGCAGAUAACCUUGUACCUGCUGAAAUUGCGACCCUAAAAAAUAAUUUGGAAGACCCUUUCAUUCACAUUCUUGGAAGCCUGAUUCCUUGGAAAAGUGCGAAGCUGAGAUAUGGGUAUUAUUCUUGUUCUGUUGUCUUAGAAAAUAAAAUACUGUGAGAGGAUAAACAGAAAAUUAACUAAUUUAUUUACUUCUGUCUUAUAAAAAUUAUGCUGAUAUCUCCCACAAUGGACAUUUUAUGAUAUUUAGCUGCUAUCUGCAUUUAGAUAUAGUUUUAUUUUUUUACCCAGUGCUCAGGCACGCUCAUAUUUACAAAUAGCGGGGGACAUGGAGCUCUUUUUUGGUUCUUUGUGUUCCCACUUCUUGUUGUUUUCUUAUUGUAGUUGUGCUUUUGAAAGGUGCAUGGAUGUUUCAUGUAAUUUCUGUCUUAAGUGAUACUUAAGAAUGUGCCUGUGUUGGCACUGCAAUGACACGGGUGACAUGUACUCUAGCAUAAAAGGAGAAAAUAGUACAUUCUUCUCUAAAUUCAGAUCAAGUGAAAAGCUCAUGUCCAACUAAUUAACAGUCUUACACUUUGCUGAUGUUUUGGGUCACAAGUGUGACGAAAAUACAAAAGCGGAGUGAUUUUUAUUUUUUUUGUUUUGUUUUGUUUCCUCAUUAAGUAAAAUGCAUUACAGACAAAUUUUAAA
Molecule: non-coding RNA, 1537 nt
Organism: Cyanistes caeruleus (blue tit)
Lineage: Eukaryota; Metazoa; Chordata; Aves; Passeriformes; Paridae
Source: RefSeq, a predicted model, not a curated record